This 253-nucleotide ribosomal RNA is filed under the name uncultured bacterium. Its description in RNAcentral is "partial 16S ribosomal RNA". It matches the Rfam family "Bacterial small subunit ribosomal RNA", at positions 524 to 776 of the family's 1533-position model. The record is from RNAcentral.
UACGGGAGGGGCAAGCGUUGUUCGGAAUUACUGGGCGUAAAGGGCUCGUAGGUGGCCAACUAAGUCAGGCGUGAAAUCCCUCGGCUUAACUGGGGAACUGCGUCUGAUACUGGCGAGCUUGAGUGCAGGAGAGGAACGCGGAAUUCCAGGUGUAGCGGUGAAAUGCGUAGAUAUCUGGAGGAACACCGGUGGCGAAGGCGGCGUUCUGGACUGCAACUGACACUGAGAAACGAAAGCCAGGGUAGCAAACGGG